RNAcentral lists this ribosomal RNA (617 nucleotides) under uncultured bacterium. RNAcentral's name for it is "bacterial SSU rRNA". The stretch from base 1 to 542 matches the Rfam family "Bacterial small subunit ribosomal RNA", at positions 338 to 873 of the family's 1533-position model. The record is from RNAcentral.
CCUACGGGAGGCAGCAGUGGGGAAUUUUGGACAAUGGGCGCAAGCCUGAUCCAGCAAUGCCGCGUGCAGGAUGAAGGCCUUCGGGUUGUAAACUGCUUUUGUACGGAACGAAACGGUGAGCUCUAAUACAGUUUGCUAAUGACGGUACCGUAAGAAUAAGCACCGGCUAACUACGUGCCAGCAGCCGCGGUAAUACGUAGGGUGCGAGCGUUAAUCGGAAUUACUGGGCGUAAAGCGUGCGCAGGCGGUGAUGUAAGACAGAUGUGAAAUCCCCGGGCUCAACCUGGGACCUGCAUUUGUGACUGCAUCGCUAGAGUACGGUAGAGGGGGAUGGAAUUCCGCGUGUAGCAGUGAAAUGCGUAGAUAUGCGGAGGAACACCGAUGGCGAAGGCAAUCCCCUGGACCUGUACUGACGCUCAUGCACGAAAGCGUGGGGAGCAAACAGGAUUAGAUACCCUGGUAGUCCACGCCCUAAACGAUGUCAACUGGUUGUUGGGUCUUCACUGACUCAGUAACGAAGCUAACGCGUGAAGUUGACCGCCUGGGGNGACGCCGCGAGUAGAAGUUAAAUAGAGUGACGCGUGAGACGAGCGAGGACGACGACGAGGGGAGGUAGG